UAAUACAGAGGGUGCAAGCGUUAAUCGGAGUUACUGGGCGUAAAGGGCGCGUAGGCGGUCCCGCAAGUGAGAUGUGAAAUCCCCGGGCUUAACCUGGGAACUGCAUCUUAAACUGCGGGGCUGGAGUACUGUAGAGGAUAGUGGAAUUUCCGGUGUAGCGGUGAAAUGCGUAGAGAUCGGAAGGAACACCAGUGGCGAAGGCGACUGUCUGGACAGAUACUGACGCUGAGGCGCGAAAGCGUGGGGAGCAAACAGGAUUAGAUACCCUGGUAGUCCACGCUGUAAACGAUGAGAACUAGAUGUUGGUAGGCUUGGCCUAUUAGUAUCGAAGCUAACGCGAUAAGUUCUCCGCCUGGGGAGUACGGCCGCAAGGUUA
Molecule: ribosomal RNA, 376 nt
Filed under: uncultured bacterium
Lineage: Bacteria
Description: bacterial SSU rRNA
Rfam family: Bacterial small subunit ribosomal RNA
Source: RNAcentral